GAUGAACGCUGGCGGCGUGCCUAAUACAUGCAAGUCGAGCGAACAGACGAGGAGCUUGCUCCUCUGACGUUAGCGGCGGACGGGUGAGUAACACGUGGAUAACCUACCUAUAAGACUGGGAUAACUUCGGGAAACCGGAGCUAAUACCGGAUAAUAUAUUUAACCGCAUGGUUCAAUAGUGAAAGACGGUUUUGCUGUCACUUAUCGAUUGAUCCGCGCCGCAUUAGCUAGUUGGUAAGGUAACGGCUUACCAAGGCAACGAGGCGUAGCCGACCUGAGAGGGGGAUCGGCCACACUGGAACGGAGGCACGGUCCAGACUCCUACGGGAGGCAGCAGUAGCGAAUCUUCCGCAAUGGGCGAAAGCCUGACGGAGCAACGCCGCGUGAGUGAUGAAGGUCUUCGGAUCGUAAAACUCUGUUAGUAGGGAAGAACAAAUGUGUAAGUAACUAUGCACGUCUUGACGGUACCUAAUCAGAAAGCCACGGCUAACUACGUG
This 497-nucleotide ribosomal RNA is filed under the name uncultured bacterium. Its description in RNAcentral is "partial 16S ribosomal RNA". It matches the Rfam family "Bacterial small subunit ribosomal RNA", at positions 28 to 507 of the family's 1533-position model. The record is from RNAcentral.